GCCCUUUUCCGGUUGAUCCUGCCGGACCUGACUGCUAUCGGAUUGAUACUAAGCCAUGCGAGUCAUUGCAGUAAUGCAAGGCAGACGGCUCAGUAACGCGUAGUCAACCUACCCUAUGGACGGGAAUAACCUCGGGAAACUGAGUAUAAUGCCCGAUAGAACACUAUACCUGGAAUGGUUUGUGUUCCAAAUGAAUGUCGCCGUAGGAUGGGACUGCGGCCUAUCAGUUUGUUGGUGAGGUAAUGGCCCACCAAGACUAUUACAGGUACGGGCUCUGAGAGGAGUAGCCCGGAGAUGGGUACUGAGACACGGACCCAGGCCCUAUGGGGCGCAGCAGGCGAGAAAACUUUGCAAUGUGCGAAAGCACGACAAGGUUAAUCCGAGUGGUUUCUGCUAAAGGAACCUUUUGACAGUCCUAGAAACACUGUUGAAUAAGGGGUGGGCAAGUUCUGGUGUCAGCCGCCGCGGUAAAACCAGCACCUCAAGUGGUCAGGAUGAUUAUUGGGCCUAAAGCAUCCGUAGCCGGCUCUGUAAGUUUUCGGUUAAAUCUGUACGCUCAACGUACAGGCUGCCGGGAAUACUGCAGAGCUAGGGAGUGGGAGAGGUAGACGGUACUCGGUAGGAAGGGGUAAAAUCCUUUGAUCUAUUGAUGACCACCUGUGGCGAAGGCGGUCUACCAGAACACGUCCGACGGUGAGGGAUGAAAGCUGGGGGAGCAAACCGGAUUAGAUACCCGGGUAGUCCCAGCUGUAAACUAUGCAAACUCAGUGAUGCAUUGGCUUGUGGCCAAUGCAGCGCUGCAGGGAAGCCGUUAAGUUUGCCGCCUGGGAAGUACGUACGCAAGUAUGAAACUUAAAGGAAUUGGCGGGGGAGCACCACAAGGGGUGAAGCCUGCGGUUCAAUUGGAUUCAACGCCGGGAAGGGC
This 925-nucleotide ribosomal RNA is filed under the name uncultured archaeon. Its description in RNAcentral is "bacterial SSU rRNA". It matches the Rfam family "Archaeal small subunit ribosomal RNA", at positions 1 to 928 of the family's 1478-position model. The record is from RNAcentral.